RNAcentral lists this ribosomal RNA (254 nucleotides) under uncultured bacterium. RNAcentral describes it as "partial 16S ribosomal RNA". It matches the Rfam family "Bacterial small subunit ribosomal RNA", at positions 524 to 777 of the family's 1533-position model. The record is from RNAcentral.
UACGAAGGGGGCUAGCGUUGCUCGGAAUUACUGGGCGUAAAGGGAGCGUAGGCGGGUUAUCAAGUUGGAGGUGAAAGCCCAGGGCUCAACCUUGGAAUUGCCUUCAAAACUGAUAGCCUAGAGUAUGAUAGAGGUAUGUGGAACUCCGAGUGUAGAGGUGAAAUUCGUAGAUAUUCGGAAGAACACCAGUGGCGAAGGCGACAUACUGGGUCAUGACUGACGCUGAGGCUCGAAAGCGUGGGGAGCAAACAGGG